RNAcentral lists this ribosomal RNA (1000 nucleotides) under uncultured bacterium. Its description in RNAcentral is "bacterial SSU rRNA". It matches the Rfam family "Bacterial small subunit ribosomal RNA", at positions 36 to 1049 of the family's 1533-position model. The record is from RNAcentral.
CUGCAGUGCGCAGCUACCAUGCAGUUGAGCGGAGAUAUAUGGAGCUUGCUUUAUAUAACUUAGCAGCGAACGGGUGAGUAACACGUAGAUAAUCUAUCCUAUACUGGGGGAUAGCCCGAUGAAAGUUGGAUUAAUACCGCAUAUAGCUAUAUAGUUGCAUGAUUAUGUAGUGAAAGAUUUAUUGGUAUAGGAGGAGUCUGCGGCACAUUAGCUAGUAGGUGAGGUAAAGGCUUACCUAGGCGACGAUGUGUAGCCGGUCUGAGAGGAUGAACGGCCACAAUGGAACUGAGACACGGUCCAUACUCCUACGGGAGGCAGCAGUGGGGAAUAUUGCACAAUGGGGGAAACCCUGAUGCAGCAACGCCGCGUGAGUGAAGAAGGUUUUCGGAUUGUAAAGCUCUGUUAGCAGGGAAGAGGAAGGACGGUACCUGCAGAGGAAGCCACGGCUAACUACGUGCCAGCAGCCGCGGUAAUACGUAGGUGGCAAGCGUUGUUCGGAAUAACUGGGCGUAAAGGAUGCGUAGGCGGUUAAACAAGUUAUAUGUUAAAUAUAUAGGCUUAACCUGUAGAAAGCAUAUAAAACUGUUUAACUAGAGUGCAGGAGAGGUAAGUGGAAUUCCUAGUGUAGCGGUGAAAUGCGUAGAGAUUAGGAAGAACACCAGUGGCGAAGGCGACUUACUGGACUGUAACUGACGCUGAGGCAUGAGAGCAUGGGGGAGCAAACAGGAUUAGAUACCCUGGUAGUCCAUGCUGUAAACGAUGGGUACUAGGUGUGGGUUGUGAAUAACAAUUCGUGCCGUCGCAAACGCAAUAAGUACCCCGCCUGAGGAGUACGAUCGCAAGAUUAAAACUCAAAGGAAUUGACGGGGACCCGCACAAGCAGCGGAGCAUGUGGUUUAAUUCGAAGCAACGCGAAGAACCCUUACCUAAACUUGACAUACCUUUGAAUUACCUUGUAAUGAGGGAAGCUCGCAGAGCAAGGAUACAGGUGGUGCAUGGU